Molecule: ribosomal RNA, 464 nt
Filed under: uncultured bacterium
Lineage: Bacteria
Description: partial 16S ribosomal RNA
Rfam family: Bacterial small subunit ribosomal RNA
Source: RNAcentral
CUACGGGGGGCUGCAGUGGGGAAUAUUGCACAAUGGGCGCAAGCCUGAUGCAGCCAUGCCGCGUGUAUGAAGAAGGCCUUCGGGUUGUAAAGUACUUUCAGCGGGGAGGAAGGGAGUAAAGUUAAUACCUUUGCUCAUUGACGUUACCCGCAGAAGAAGCACCGGCUAACUCCGUGCCAGCAGCCGCGGUAAUACGGAGGGUGCAAGCGUUAAUCGGAAUUACUGGGCGUAAAGCGCACGCAGGCGGUUUGUUAAGUCAGAUGUGAAAUCCCCGGGCUCAACCUGGGAACUGCAUCUGAUACUGGCAAGCUUGAGUAUCGUAGAGGGGGGUAGAAUUCCAGGUGGAGCGGUGAAAUGCGUAGAGAUCUGGAGGAAUACCGGUGGCGAAGGCGGCCCCCUGGACGAAGACUGACGCUCAGGUGCGAAAGCGUGGGGAGCAAACAGGAUUAGAUACCCUAGUAGUC